Long non-coding RNA from Cimex lectularius (bed bug), 315 nucleotides. RefSeq lists it as uncharacterized. The record is from RefSeq and is a predicted model, not a curated record. Lineage: Eukaryota; Metazoa; Arthropoda; Insecta; Hemiptera; Cimicidae. The transcript has 3 exons.
CGUGUCGAGACGUGCUUGCUUGUAACUCUUUCAACUGGAUGAGCUUAAAAUCCGGAUUGUUGAAAAUGACAAAUCUGUGGUGUUGAGUGAUUGUUUUAUCUUUCCUACAUUUUCGUGAAGUGUUAUUUAAACUGUUCGUUAAGUAGUUCCGUGAGUGUCGAAUAGUCGAAGUGCACAGUUAGCUGGUUCAUCGUAGCUGUUUUAAAGCAAGGAUUGUUGCCUUCAGAGGGAGCGAUUUACAAAGUGUAAUUCAGCUCUCUCUGCUGGCAGUCAGGUUAGUGAGCAUGUUAGUAUAAAUAUUCUAGUAUUGCCCCA